Long non-coding RNA from Magnolia sinica, 598 nucleotides. RefSeq lists it as uncharacterized. The record is from RefSeq and is a predicted model, not a curated record. The transcript has 2 exons. NCBI's taxonomy places the organism in Eukaryota, Viridiplantae, Streptophyta, Magnoliopsida, Magnoliales, Magnoliaceae.
UGUCACGAUGAAUCACCACCUCUUUCUGUGUGAAUUUUGAUUCUAGCAAUCUCUUUAACCAAGUACCUUCCUUAAAUAGUGGCAACUUAUCCACCACACACCUGGCAUGUGGCAUACUUGCACAUCAAUCCAAACCACCCAAAUCUCUGAUCAAGUCGGCAUAGCCAUCCAAUUGGUGAUCAUGAUAGCGACAGUUGAAAUGACAAUGGCGUGCAGUCCAGAUUCAAGAGGCAAAAUAUAAUCAUCAAGUCAGUGUGACUUUCAAGCCAUAACGUGGCCCGUGAUUUGGAUGGUAUGGAUUAAGGUACUUGUUUGCUACGCAUUCGUUGUGCAAGUUGCCACCCUUUAUUAAACCAACCCAAGACGCAAACCAAAGUCCACAACCUCUUGUAUUGAGACUUGAGUUCCCAGUGUUUGAGACAGAAAAACCAACAAUCAUCCCAAUGACAAAAAUCUCCCUUGAAUUUUUUCAUCAAGCUCGAACAUUUGGUGGCAGCAGCCAAAGCAGCCCAGCAGCAAAUAUUGAGAAACAACUGCAGAAAUAGUCGAGAAAAAUCAUUCAGCAGCUGGAAUAGAUACCUUGGAUAUCAGAUAGCAU